Molecule: long non-coding RNA, 444 nt
Organism: Glycine soja
Lineage: Eukaryota; Viridiplantae; Streptophyta; Magnoliopsida; Fabales; Fabaceae
Exons: 4
Source: RefSeq, a predicted model, not a curated record
AUUAUGGCAUGCAAUUGCAACUCCAGCCAACCCCCUCCUCUAGUUGAAAUGCAGAAAUUUCCCCCCUACUCCGCCCCCCACUCCUAACAUUGAAGAGACCAGUCCCAAAAUUGGAUGUUAUCGGAGAUGGAGUUUGAAGAAGAGUUUUCUUUUCCCUUUGUUGCGGUUGCUACAGAGGAAAAAGCUCCUAAUGCUGUUACUGAAGAGAAGCCUGCGGAAGAUGAAAAUGCGAACGCAAAGGAAGCAAGUGCUAAUGAUGAUGAAGCCAGGAAGUGAAGGCAUUUUGAGAUGUUUGGGUGCAUCCGCCAAUAAUAAAAGACAAUAAUACUCUUGUUUGAUUUAAGACUUUUCCGAUCUAGUUUAAUUUGAUUUCGUUUUAAAUUUAUGAAUUGCCUGUAAGGAGAAUUCUAAUUGAUGGAGUGAUGAAUCAGUAUUAAUAAUUGA